RNAcentral lists this small nuclear RNA (275 nucleotides) under Cebus imitator (Panamanian white-faced capuchin). RNAcentral's name for it is "7SK RNA (ENSCCAG00000007551.1)". It matches the Rfam family "7SK RNA". From Rfam's summary of the family: 7SK was discovered as an abundant small nuclear RNA in the mid-70s but a possible function has only recently been suggested. Two independent studies have found that 7SK RNA binds the CDK9/cyclin T complex (known as elongation factor P-TEFb). P-TEFb activates transcription by phosphorylating the C-terminal domain of RNA polymerase II. Lineage: Eukaryota; Metazoa; Chordata; Mammalia; Primates; Cebidae. The record is from RNAcentral.
GGAUAAGAAGGCAAUCUGGCUGUAACAUCUGUCAUCCUAUUAAAUGCUAGGGUUGAUGCAGCGGAUCUGGCUGGCUAGGAGGGUGUCCCCUUCCUUUCUCACUGCUCCAUGUGCGCUCCUCCCAAAGCUGUGUGCUAAGUAAAAGAGGAUGACCAUCGCUGAUGGAGGAGGACCCAUCUUCAGUCAAGGGUAUGUGAGUAGCUGGGCUCCCCUGCUAGAACCUCCAAACAAGCUCUCAAGAAGAGAAAAAAUCAACCACAUAAUAUUAUUCUUCA